GGAAACUGCCUGAUGGAGGGGGAUAACUACUGGAAACGGUAGCUAAUACCGCAUAAUGUCGCAAGACCAAAGUGGGGGACCUUCGGGCCUCAUGCCAUCAGAUGUGCCCAGAUGGGAUUAGCUAGUAGGUGGGGUAACGGCUCACCUAGGCGACGAUCCCUAGCUGGUCUGAGAGGAUGACCAGCCACACUGGAACUGAGACACGGUCCAGACUCCUACGGGAGGCAGCAGUGGGGAAUAUUGCACAAUGGGCGCAAGCCUGAUGCAGCCAUGCCGCGUGUGUGAAGAAGGCCUUCGGGUUGUAAAGCACUUUCAGCGGGGAGGAAGGCGAUAAGGUUAAUAACCUUGUCGAUUGACGUUACCCGCAGAAGAAGCACCGGCUAACUCCGUGCCAGCAGCCGCGGUAAUACGGAGGGUGCAAGCGUUAAUCGGAAUUACUGGGCGUAAAGCGCACGCAGGCGGUCUGUCAAGUCGGAUGUGAAAUCCCCGGGCUCAACCUGGGAACUGCAUUCGAAACUGGCAGGCUAGAGUCUUGUAGAGGGGGGUAGAAUUCCAGGUGUAGCGGUGAAAUGCGUAGAGAUCUGGAGGAAUACCGGUGGCGAAGGCGGCCCCCUGGACAAAGACUGACGCUCAGGUGCGAAAGCGUGGGGAGCAAACAGGAUUAGAUACCCUGGUAGUCCACGCCGUAAACGAUGUCGAUUUGGAGGUUGUGCCCUUGAGGCGUGGCUUCCGGAGCUAACGCGUUAAAUCGACCGCCUGGGGAGUACGGCCGCAAGGUUAAAACUCAAAUGAAUUGACGGGGGCCCGCACAAGCGGUGGAGCAUGUGGUUUAAUUCGAUGCAACGCGAAGAACCUUACCUGGUCUUGACAUCCACAGAACUUUCCAGAGAUGGAUUGGUGCCUUCGGGAACUGUGAGACAGGUGCUGCAUGGCUGUCGUCAGCUCGUGUUGUGAAAUGUUGGGUUAAGUCCCGCAACGAGCGCAACCCUUAUCCUUUGUUGCCAGCGGUUCGGCCGGGAACUCAAAGGAGACUGCCAGUGAUAAACUGGAGGAAGGUGGGGAUGACGUCAAGUCAUCAUGGCCCUUACGACCAGGGCUACACACGUGCUACAAUGGCAUAUACAAAGAGAAGCGACCUCGCGAGAGCAAGCGGACCUCAUAAAGUAUGUCGUAGUCCGGAUUGGAGUCUGCAACUCGACUCCAUGAAGUCGGAAUCGCUAGUAAUCGUAGAUCAGAAUGCUACGGUGAAUACGUUCCCGGGCCUUGUACACACCGCCCGUCACACCAUGGGAGUGGGUUGCAAAAGAAGUAGGUAGCUUAACCUUCGGGAGGGCGCUACCAC
Molecule: ribosomal RNA, 1342 nt
Filed under: bacterium
Lineage: Bacteria
Description: bacterial SSU rRNA
Rfam family: Bacterial small subunit ribosomal RNA
Source: RNAcentral